CUUGGUGUUUGACCAAGUGUUUUUAUUGUUUCGAACGAUUGAUUUUAUUUUUGACCAAUUACUUAAUUAGUUCAUUUUAUCUAACUAAGGGCAAGAAAAUAAAAACAAACAAAUAAAUAAAAAUUACAAUCAAAGUGGUGGGUACAUUUGUCAUUUUAAGAAUAAUGAAUAUAAAUAUAAAAUAAAUAAUAACAAUAAUAUACAAAUCCUAAUCAAAGUAAAUAAAAUAAAAAUAAAAUAAAACAAAGAGAAA
Molecule: long non-coding RNA, 253 nt
Filed under: Lathyrus oleraceus (garden pea)
Lineage: Eukaryota; Viridiplantae; Streptophyta; Magnoliopsida; Fabales; Fabaceae
Description: Pisum sativum (pea) long non-coding RNA (PSAT_LNC002495)
Source: RNAcentral